RNAcentral lists this ribosomal RNA (301 nucleotides) under uncultured bacterium. RNAcentral's name for it is "partial 16S ribosomal RNA". It matches the Rfam family "Bacterial small subunit ribosomal RNA", at positions 509 to 807 of the family's 1533-position model. The record is from RNAcentral.
CAGUCGCCACGGGAAUACGUAGGUGGCAAGCGUUGCCCGGAAUUAUUGGGCGUAAAGGGCUCACAGGCGGUUUCUUAAGUCUGAUGUGAAAGCCCCCGGCUCAACCGGGGAGGGUCAUUGGAAACUGGGAAACUUGAGUGCAGAAGAGGAGAGUGGAAUUCCACGUGUAGCGGUGAAAUGCGUAGAGAUGUGGAGGAACACCAGUGGCGAAGGCGACUCUCUGGUCUGUAACUGACGCUGAGGGGCGAAAGCGUGGGGAGCGAACAGGAUUAGAUACCCGCGUAGUCCCUGUCUCUUAUAC